AGUUACUUUUCCAAUAUAGAUGUUUUCAGAAAAGUAUGGGUGUGUCCAAUAAAUUGAUUUUCUAGUUAUUCCAGGGUUUAUAGAAGAGAUAAAUAUUCUCCUAGCUAUUAUACUCACUUAUUUUGUCUGGCAUCCACAGUGUGAUUAGAAAAGGCUUAUUUGCUUUAGCAGGUGCAUGGUAUUUUGCAAGGAUUAGUUCUUUUCCAGGUGAAUGUGUUGAAUGCAAAAACAAGCAUUCACAUCUUUGAUUGUUUAUCAGUGUUAAACAGGAGAUUUUUAUUGUUUAGGGAGUCAUAACCUUCUCUUUAAAUUGGCAGGAAAAACAAAUUUGAUUAAAGGGACCAUCUGUGAUUUCCUGUACUUGUAUCAACCCAGAAGGUUUCCUGAGAAGUGGCCAGAGAGAACCCUCUGCAGGCUCAUAACUCUGCACUUAUCAGCUUGACAUGGGACUGACACUACAGGCACUCUUCCUACGGAGGAAGUCAGCUGCAGACAACACCAUUUGUUGCAAAGCAACACUUUAGUGAGAGUCAUUCUUCUGAAUAAAAAGGAAAGUCUAUACUUUUCAGCCACCCAGGUAAACAACUGACUAUAGAAAUGAGGCAUCAUAAUUCAAAGGUUGCUAAUGCUUUCCAAGCUGUUAUGACAUUACCUGUCAAAUAUAAAAGCAAAAAGAACUUUAUAAGAGAAAUACCUGCUAAUGGAUAUAAAGUGUAGAAGGAUCUUUUUCUAUAUUUAAUGAUGUUUUAAGUAAUUUUAGAGACCACUUGUACAGUUACAAACUUAUGGGUAAAUCCUAUAGAAAACCAAUUCAUGGUGCCUAAAACAGAGAAGUUUUUUGGAAUCCAACUCAUAAGGGUCAGGAGAUAAUGUGAGAUAAUAAAGCAGGUCAUACAGUGCAUGAAUGGCAGGGAAAACUCCAUGGAUUCUUGCCUUAUAUGUCAAACAUUACUGGUGUUUUCUUUAUAAUUUUAAUUUUCCCCUCCUUCUUAUCUUCUGCUUCAUUUGUUUCUUCAUUUUUUUAAAGUCCUAUGGUGUCUGUUACUUGAAAGCUUUAGGUGUUAAAUUAUUAAAUAAUAAGUGACUAUAACAGAAAAUUCACACUAAUUUUCUCAGGGAAAUUGAAAUUGCCUUUGAAAUUGAAGUGACACAUUUUGUAGGCAAGUUUUUUUCAUCUGAUACACAUUCACACAUAUUCAUUUUUGUGUAUAUGUAAACUAGUCACAUUUUUUUUGUCUGCAUAAUCCCACCCCAUACAAGCAACUUCAUUUUCUGAAUAUUAAUAUAAAUUGCAUAAUAACUUCAUUCUCAUUAUGAGAUGCUAUUCUGCAGCAUGAGCAGUAUCCAAAUGGUGGUUUGAUUCAUAUUCUCAUUUCUUAACCUCUUGGAGAGAAAAACAUAAAACUUCCUAAUGCUAAAAGGAUUUUGUAACUUGCAGCUAAAUGGCCACUGUAAUUGAGUUUUUUUCCUCUUAAAAAUGUAAGAAGCUCAUAGGUCUUUGUGUAACUGAAGGUCAGCGUGACUGACUCAUGGCUACAAGCUAUUCUGUUAUACACUGCCACCAUGAAAAGACAAGUACCAAUCUGUGCUUGCACUUUUUAAGGUGCAUUUGUAUUACGACGAACUUCAUACUCAAGCUGAAACUAAAGCAAAGAGCAAAUAGAGCAUAUGAGAGAAAGAGAGAGAUAGAUAAGCAUGUGAAAGAGAAAGACAAACAUGUGUUGUUGACGAUGGUAUCCUUCUUUUUAAUAAGCAGUUUCUAAAAUAAUUCCUUGAGCUCUUUAUGAAUUUGAAUGUGUUUGGGAUCAGCAGGCAUAGGCUGCUUUGCAAGGGGGGACAAGUUGGGAGUCGAAAGUGACAGGCAGAUAGAUUGUCCUGCUUGAAAUCGAUCUAUUUUUAAUAAUUCUUCAUAGUAGUAAUGAAUAAGUGACCUAACUGCAGGGGAGUUGUGAAGAUUGUAGGAGAGAGAUGCACAUAGAAUAUUUUCUUGUGCAGUAUGUUUUCUGUUUUAGCCUUUUGCUUUUGGUGAUAGCAGUUCAUGCUACUAACACAAACAAGUUCCAGCAAGGCUUGUCACUGCAGAAAUCACACACACCUGAAAUUAGAUGUUAUUUCUGUUUGGGCAUGUCAUCUUUUACUUAAAAGGACACCCCAUCAACCAUAAAUCAUAGAUUGGUUUGGGUUGGAAGGGAUCUUAAAGAUCAUCUAGUUCUAUUAUCCCUGCCAUGGCAUCCCUUCUGCUAGACCAGCUUACACAGAAAUUAAAAACACAUUGUUUGUGGGUUUUGUGUGUGUUCUUUUCUUUUUAUUUUUCAUAUAACAUUUAGCAGCAUUUGGGAGAACUAGAGAACUUCAUUUUAAUCAUUAAGAUCCUGCUUAUUAUCUGUUAUUAUAUUACUGCAAUUUUAAUCAUAUUUGCUUGAAGGAAUAAGGCUAUUCUUAUAUCAUAGUUUGUUUCAAUGUGCCAAAAUGUGCUUGAUGGACAAAAUCUGGUGGUUGAAAACUUCCUUUAAGUACCUAUAUAUGCAAAUGAAGUAAUUAAUAUGAGAUUAAAUAUUCAUGAAUCUUUUUGUCUAGCUCUAGUGGACUAAAGGAAGAUGAAUGACUAAAUAUCUAAUUAUUAAAAUGAAACCGCUUCCUUUCAAAGCUUAUUUAUUUUUUACCAAUCACAUGAUUUUCCAAAUGUUUCAUGGUGUGAUUUGUUUGGGUUUUUUUUUAAAUGAUGGUUGGUAUUUUCCCCUCCCGUCUUCACUCUUCCACCCCUUUUCUUGCCUUUCCCAGCCCUCAGCUCGGGAGAGUGAGAGACCAGAUACGCAACCAGUUUUGUAUACCAAACUAGGUGAUUUUUAGCUAACUUUUUGGACAUAUUUAAUAAGAUAAUGUGGACAUUUUUUUUCCUGUGAUUUUUAUGAUAUGGAUAAGGGUUUAUUUUAAUUUGCAUCUCCUUAAAAUACUAAUUUUGAAUGAAAAUUAGUUUAUAGACAACCAAGGGGCAGCUUCCUCAGGGUGGGCAUAUGCCAAUUACAAAUUGGAGCAGUGCAAACAUGUAGGUAAAGUGCUGAAAAUCUUGGCUUUGCUUCCUGGGACACUCCUAGAGACUGUCAGAAACUGCCUUCUAUCUAUCAGCCUGCUCUGUAUACAUCAUAUAUUGGCAUGUGUGCUUCUUUAUAAAAAGUGGCAUAUAUAUAUAGAUGGUUGUUAUGGUGUUGUUUGUCAGCAAUCUUAAGGCCCUCCAGAGACAGUGAUAAGUGUGAUAGCUCUGAUAAAGAUAGGCUUUCAAAUUACAUAAAAACAAAAUAAUAGCAAAACCACCAAAACCCCAGGACAAAAAUACCCCAAAAAACCAAAACAGCGGCCCCAUGCCCAAGCAGUAAAAAUAGUGUUUCUUUUAAAACCCUUCAGAGUAACAGAUCAUACAUAUAUACCACUUAUCUUUCAAAAGGAGUGGCAGAGGAAUGACUCCUAAAAAAAAUGCCUAAAGGAAAAAAAAGUCUUUUUGUUUCAAACUAGAAAAUAGUACUUACAAAAUUCAGUGGAUCUGUCUAUUCCCUAGUCAAUAGUUGCCAGCAGAACCACAUGCCCUGUAAGUAAAUCAGGUUCAAGAAUUCUCUCCAGCUAAGCACAGCAAAUUCCCCUGUAAAUAUGGAUUUCCUAGCAAAUAUUUUCUCUUAGUGGUAAUAUUGUUCUCAUAUGGGACGUCAGCUUUAGCAUUCCUCUAGAGUGCAGCAUUUUUCACCAGUAUUAUACUGGUGUAAUAUAAAAAUAAGUAUUAGUGCUGCACGUUAAAUUCAUAACUUUUCUACUACAGCACCAGAAUAUUUUAGGGACUAGACUGGUAAAAUAAGCAUCCUAGCUAUACCCAUUGGGAGAUUUCCCUUAAUAACAAUAUUUUGCCUUCUGGAAAUCUUCUUAUGCUGUGUAAACUUGUGCAUUUCUCUAAGUGGUUUCUUACUUUUCCCUUCCUUUUAAUUUUUUUAAAUUUCUUUUUUUCCCCAGUCACUCUACAGAGUUAUAGAAUGUCAUGGAAUGAUAAAAUAGUUUGAGUUGGAAGGGGCCUUUGAAAGUUACCAAGUCCAAACCCCCUGCCUUGAGCAGGGAUAUCAUCAUAUCCAGUUGCUCAGAACCCCAUUCAACCUUGAGCAUUCCCAGGAAUGGAGCAUCCACCAACUCACUGUGUAACCUGUGCUAGUGUUUCAUCAGUUAUUGCAAAAAACUUCUUCUUUAGAGCUGAUCAAAUCUAUCCCCUUUAUUUUAAAACCAUUACUCCUUGCUCUGUUGCAACAGGCCCUGCUGAAUGUUGCCUCCAUUUUUCUUUUAUGUCACCUUUAGGUACUGUAAGGCUGCCAUGAACCUUCUUUUCACCAGGUUCACAACUGAAGUUCUCCCAGCCCAGUUUCACAGGAGAGGUGUUCCAGCCUUCUGAGCACCUUCCUCUGGACAUGCUCCAACAGAUCUGUGUCUUUUGUCUACAUUCCUACCUAUUGGUCGACUGCCAUAUAAGAAACCAUUUUUUAUGGACCAACAUUAACUCUAUUGACUAACCUAAGAGGUUAUUUCUGAGCAGUCAAAAGAUUGUUUAUUGCCCUCUUUGGUUAACAAAGAGUAGUAGGAAGUUUAGUUUUAAAUACCUUUUUUUUUUUUAAAGCCUAGGCAGAGAAGCAGAAUGAACAAUGACUUGCCAAAUUUUUCCUGAGUUAUUACCAAGUGUGAACACCUUGAUUUCACAUCAGAAUAUAUUUCUACUUUAAAAUACAGUAUUUAUCUACUGCAAUAUUUACAUCAUCUUAUUAAACUCCUUGGAUAAGCCUUUGGGGUGGUGGUACUAAUUUAAAAUAUAGGGACUAAACUCAGGUUGCAAAUAGACAGUUUUUUCCCACCUUGGUUUUGGGGUAUUCAUGCUAGCUUUCACUAGCAUGAAAUUCUGAUGAGACUCUACCACUUUUUGUUUUGUUUUUCUCCCUCCUACAGUCCCUCCCUAUUCUCUAUAUUCAUGUUUUAUUAUCUGAAACCUGCUUUACACUUCUGUCAAAUCCCUGAGCAUGAAGCUCAUAAAUACUGGCACCUUCUUGUGACAGAAAGAGCACUCAGAGUUGCAGCUCGGCGAUCUUUUAGAGAUUUAAAAGUGAAGCUCUCUUCCAUUUACAAACAUGCCAACAGGUGUCUCUCAGAUAUUCUUUGAUGUAUUUUUUUAUAAAAAAAAAUGUAAAGGGUAGUAAGCAUUUUAGCAUAAGUGACUAAUAUUUCGUUUUCUCUAUCCAAAACAUAAUGAAAGAGUGUUGCAUUCAUAUAAACCAUUUCAAGGCAUGGAAUUCCCAAAGAACCUUAGUCUGCAACCAGAAGUACAUUGAAAGAGAUUUAUUUCUGGACUGCAGUGCCCUCUGCCAGCAGAAACUCCAGCAGAGGAACUGAACAGGUAAUGAAGACUAUCCAUCCACCUAGAGCUUCAAAGCAAGGCAGGUACACAAAUAGAUUUUGAUUGAGGCCACCUGGGCACAGUAACUCUACAGUUUUGAGAGAGUAAUGAUCAGUGAUAAAACAAAUUACAUUUUGUGGCCCAAAUAAUUAUCCUCAAAUACAAUUUUAAUUGAAGUUUAGAUUUCAACUUAGUGUUUCCUUGGAGAUGUUAUAGGCUUCCUAUGUAAGGUCAAAACACUUUAGUAUGUAGAAAAUAAUUUGUCUGAUUGCUUCAAUUGGAUGUAGACAUUUUGCUAAUUUUGUGUUCCUGGAAAGGAUGAAAAGACAGUAAUUAAAGAGAAAAAGAAGCUCUUGAUUGCCUCUCAAAGCAUUAAGAGGACUGUAUGCCUCUUGUAAGCAUUUAAAGGCUAACUGUUAGUGUAUAAAAGGAUAAAUCAUUUUUAAUUAGUUUUUUUGAUGGAAUCAAGUUUUUUUAAAUUGAAUAUUAGAAAUUAAUUGUGUAUGGUAAUGAUUAAUUGCAAGUCAGCUCUAGAUGGGUGCUUCUGGAGAGGCUCCCUGAACAAAGAAACUUCUGGGUCUUUAUACACUCUUGGUAUGUGCACCCAAUCAUCAUCUGCCCUGCAUGUGCCUCUUGGUAUAAUGAUAAUUUGUGGUCUAGGGUCUUAUAACACCUCUUUGGAUUCUUCCUUCAUGUACACAUGGACAGGGCAUUAAUUGUUCUUAUCUUCCCACCUGGGCCAGCCUUGGCCCAGCCCUUUUCUGAAGAUAACCUGUCUCUGUUUAUUCCUCAGCUCAGCCAUUUGUGCUAGCAGAGUUCAUUUCAAGUUCACCUACAACUUUGAGAAGGGCCCAUUAAUGCUAAGCUGUAAGCAAGUUACUAUUGCACUUAAACCUACUCAAUUAAUUUUAAUGUUUUCUAAGUAAACAAUUUCAUUUCCAGUAUUCAGGUGUUGAUAACUUUCUAUGAAACAGAAUUUAUGAAAUUGGUGAAUCCUUUUGAAAUCUCCUAGGUUUGGAAAUCAGAUUAGAGAUAUUUAUACAUCUCUCAAAGACCAAAUUUAUAUACUAACUAUAUAAAUAAAAAUAAGUUGAUGUAUUUUAAUCAAAAUUCCAAUCUUAAUAAUACCAGACAGAUCUGAAAUAUUUCAAAAUGGGACCUAAAUUGUAUGGAAAGAUAUUUUAUUCAAAUGCUAUGCAUAGGAUUAACCUAUUAUUCCUCAUAAAUUCUGGUGAUAUGAUAUCAGUGUGAAAGGAGUCAUAUCAGGCUUCAUUUUGUUUUUUAAAAUAUUAAUAUACUAAUUUUUAGGAGAAAAAACAUAAUCAAUUUCACUUGAAAACCCCCAAUACUUGCAGGAGAUUCUCACUAUUUUUAAUAUGAUUUUAUUUAAUCUCACACAUAAGAAUACUUCUGCCUUAACUGGCAUCUUUAAAAUUAAUGAAUAGGCAGAAAUUUUCUCUCCAAACAUAAGGGACUUUCAUGAUUGCUGAGAAAUGUCCCAUGAUUCUUGGUACCAAAAUAUUAUGAAAGACGUGGUUGAUAUGCUUCAGAUAAUUACAAAAAUUGCUCAUUUAAUGGGAAUGAAAAAUCUAUAGAGGGUUAUUUCUUCAAGCAAUCUUGGAAUUUAAAUGUGAUUUGAGUCAUUUGGUCAUGGCCACUGAUCCUUGCUUUAAAAUUGGAUUUUUAUCCUCCUAUUUGAUUAUUUUAUUUCCCCAUUGGAGAAUUACUGUCUCAGUCUUUCCUUAUAAUUCAACUUGAUAUCAUAUCAUAGACUAAUCAUAUGUACAUGUUGUAUGAACAUGGUUACAGAAAUUGUAUAUGGAUAAUUUCCAAAAGUUGAACUCUGAAAUUUGUGCAAAUUGAAAAUAAAUGAUGCCAUCAUAUAUUUAUGACAUAAUGGGGAAUGCAGUAAUUUCAAGUAAGAAGAGUGAGAACUAGGGUAGAAAAGAUCCCCUUUUUCUUGCUCUGUAAAGGCAAUUAAUGAUUUGUGGCAUUGGCCUAGCAGUGACUGCCUAGCAAAAAUAAAGUGCAAGAUGACUUUUUUCCUGGAAUGGAAAGACGUUGCAUUUAUUGCAACAGGUUUCAAUCAAUUUGCAAAAUCAAAAAUAUAUUCUGAUCAGUAGAUUUUAAAAUUGAUAAAGACACAGCGUGAUGUUUACUUGAUUUGGUUCAUCAUUAUUCAGAUGAAGUAAACUGUUUGUAGACUUUUAUAGAGGAACUGCUAAAAGUUCACAGUUACAUUCUAAAUCUGGAAUUUAAUGCAAUUACAUUUUUUUUUCAUUAAAUAUCAGGUAUAACAUCUCUCCAUUAGUUGGCUCAAACUGCUUUAUUUGUUCAAAAUACCAGAGUACAGACUUCCAGUUUUCAUUAAGUGGUUUACUAAUUCCUGCUGACACCUUUUCCUGUUUACUAAAUGACUUUUCUAUCUCUUCCUUUACAUGGAACUGUUCCUUCUAACUGAUUUAUAUACAAAAAUGUAAGGUAUAAUGCAGAUGUGUUUUUGACAAGCUAACCAAAUGGGAAAGCUAAGAAAAUUUCUCCAGAUGUACCUUAAUGAAAUAGGAAUUAGACAAAUUUCUCUUACCUCUCUCCCCAUUAGGGGGAACCUUUCAUGAAUUUUUUGAGGAAGACCUGUCAGGAAACAGGAGAUAUGGCCUUUUCUAAUGACUAUAUCAAAUGUCCAAAAAUCUCUACAAUGAAAGUGUUUUCUGAAUAGUCACUGACAGAAAACAUUAACUGAAUGUUCUAUACCAGCUGAUGUAAAGAUCAGCCUUGAUGAAAGGAAGAUAAAAUAUUGUGUUAUUACUGUGUUAUUUGUAGAAUUUUCACUGAUACAUAAAGGAAAUGCAUAACAACCAGAGUAAGAACUUUUUUUCCUCUUAGCAUAGGAGAAAAUAAACUUUUGUACGAAUAAAA
This is a non-coding RNA of Taeniopygia guttata (zebra finch), 8329 nucleotides long. NCBI's taxonomy places the organism in Eukaryota, Metazoa, Chordata, Aves, Passeriformes, Estrildidae. The record is from RefSeq and is a predicted model, not a curated record.